GACAAUCAAGAUGUUGUGUU
RNAcentral lists this non-coding RNA (20 nucleotides) under Arabidopsis thaliana (thale cress). Lineage: Eukaryota; Viridiplantae; Streptophyta; Magnoliopsida; Brassicales; Brassicaceae. The record is from RNAcentral.